RNAcentral lists this long non-coding RNA (1380 nucleotides) under Volvox carteri. RNAcentral describes it as "long non-coding RNA (VCAR_LNC004389)". Lineage: Eukaryota; Viridiplantae; Chlorophyta; Chlorophyceae; Chlamydomonadales; Volvocaceae. The record is from RNAcentral.
AGACCAACGACUAAGGCAGAAAAUAACCCUAAGCGAGCCCAAGUAUAUAUGCGAUCAUAGCUUUGUUUACAUGUAAUCUUGGACAGUACAGCUCUGGUAUUUUCACGAACAAUGACGUGAUUUAGGCUCAUGACGCAAGCAUAGCAUGAAUGGCAACGGUCAAGCUGCUAGGUGCAUUACAGCCAAACAUCGUGCAUUCAAUCAGAAGGUUUGCCUAAGCAACUCUUCAUAAUGCCAGGUCUUCCAUGCUGUGUGCUAGUCCACUUACUUUCAUAAACCGGCUGCCACCACCCAUCACCUUCAGGAUGACACAUACAUUAAUCAAUACAUAAAAGCUACUCAUGAGGUUAUAAGGCAGCUUGCAGUCCCUUCCGUGCACUGCAAUAUGCCAGGUAAUGAUACCCUCUCCAAUCAUGUUCACAUAGCCAGCGCCACUAAGCAACGACCAACCUGUCUCUCCCCCCUGUAAAUCUGAAACUUCGAAAUCAGUGUCAUCUUCCCCCUGCCACCAUGCGCUAGGGAAUCCAAACUCCUGGCCCUGCUGCUCUACCAUGGUCUCACCACGGGUCUCGGUCACUCCACCCUGGGGAAAAGUACUGCAGCAUACUACAGGUGGCAGGUGAACACCGUCCAGCACAGCUCAGGAUUACCGAACGGUCUCCCCAUUAGUCCUCCUUCAGUCCGCCCCGCUUUUCACACAUGGACUUUGGACACCAGCAGUUCAAUCCCCCUCCACACACACCAAAAGCAUCAGGUAGCCUGCCCCUAACAGCCCAGGGGUAGUCCCCUCCACCUGCUGUAGCUACAGCCCAGGGGUAGUCCCCUCCACCUGCUGUAGCUACAGCCCAGGGGUAGUCCCCUCCACCUGCUGGAGCUACAGCCCAGGGGUAGUCCCCUCCACCUGCUUGAGCUACAGCCCAGGGGUAGUCCCCUCCACCUGCUGGAGCUACAGCCCAGGGGUAGUCCCCUCCACCUGCUGGAGCUACAGCCGCCAACACUGCCCUGUGCUCCCCCAUAGCUCCAUGGAUGCCAGGUACCCCCUGGACCGCUAUCAGCUGCACACGGCGCAUAGCAGUCAGUGGUGGCUGGUAGGGGCACCCUCAUCAGGGUAUUGCAAAGAAUGAGUGUGUAGCAGCUGACCGCUGAAAAGGUCUCUCGAGUUGCUGGUGGUCACGCUCUGCACAUAUUUAUAGCGCCGUACUGUGUACCGGCUGCUACAUUCCCCCCCCUUUGAAGGGAACCAUCUCGGGCCCUUAGAGCCUCGUAUACCACCAGCCUGUGCCUACCUUCGCCUACCCUCGGGCAGUGGGUAACUACUCCAUGUCACUACUCCAUGUCAUGUCAUAUACGGGCUAACAUGCGCCUAGCCAUCUUCAGAUU